GGAAAAGGCUUAAGAGACUUUCUUCGAUUUUUUGAAUUCUAAAACUUGCAAACAAUGGAAAACUGUUGGUUUCAAAAGCAAUAGAUUGCUGUGUUAAUAAAGUUUUAUUUACAGAAAAAAGGUGCCUAUUAAAGCUUUUACCAUCCUCUAAACAAAGAUGUACUCACCUUAUAUAAACGUCUCCGUUUAUUUUUAUGCAGACCCAAGUAUGAUACACCAGACACUGCCUUAUAGAAACAUAAGACAUAGAUAGGUAUUCCUGAGUUUAUCUAUAGUUGUGGAAACCAAUAGCAUAAUGGUGUAUAUAUUUUUUGUAAAUGUCCUGCUCUCAUGCAAAAUAGAAUCAAUUUCUUUUUAUAGCAUUAAUUAACGGUCUUAACAUGGUUGCUGACAAAAAAAUUAAAGGUUGUGUGAUAUCAACUAAGGUAAUUGGCGAAUGUCAAAAUUGA
Long non-coding RNA from Eupeodes corollae, 449 nucleotides. RefSeq lists it as uncharacterized. The transcript has 3 exons. NCBI's taxonomy places the organism in Eukaryota, Metazoa, Arthropoda, Insecta, Diptera, Syrphidae. The record is from RefSeq and is a predicted model, not a curated record.